RNAcentral lists this ribosomal RNA (413 nucleotides) under Brevundimonas diminuta. RNAcentral's name for it is "bacterial SSU rRNA". It matches the Rfam family "Bacterial small subunit ribosomal RNA", at positions 41 to 502 of the family's 1533-position model. Lineage: Bacteria; Pseudomonadati; Pseudomonadota; Alphaproteobacteria; Caulobacterales; Caulobacteraceae. The record is from RNAcentral.
GGCAGGCUUAGCGCAUGCAAGUCGACGGGACCUUCGGGGUAGUGCGGACGGGUGAGUAACACGUGGGAACGUGCCUUUAGGUUCGGAAUAGCUCCUGGAACGGGUGGUAAUGCCGAAUGUGCCCUUCGGGGGAAAGAUUUAUCGCCUUUAGAGCGGCCCGCGUCUGAUUAGCUAGUUGGUGAGGUAACGGCUCACCAAGGCGACGAUCAGUAGCUGGUCUGAGAGGAUGACCAGCCACACUGGGACUGAGGCUACGGCCCAGACUCCUACGGGAGGCAGCAGUGGGGAAUCUUGCGCAAUGGGCGAAAGCCUGACGCAGCCAUGCCGAGCGUGAAUGAUGAAGGUCUUAGGAUUGUAAAAUUCUUUCACCGGGGACGAUAAUGACGGUACCGAGAAGAAGCCCCCGGCUAACU